This 273-nucleotide ribosomal RNA is filed under the name uncultured bacterium. Its description in RNAcentral is "partial 16S ribosomal RNA". It matches the Rfam family "Archaeal small subunit ribosomal RNA", at positions 474 to 747 of the family's 1478-position model. The record is from RNAcentral.
AACCAGCACCUCAAGUGGUCAGGAUGAUUAUUGGGCCUAAAGCAUCCGUAGCCGGCUCUGUAAGUUUUCGGUUAAAUCUAUAUGCUCAACAUAUAGGCUGCCGGGAAUACUGCACAGCUAGGGAGUGGGAGAGGUAGACGGUACUCGGUAGGAAGGGGUAAAAUCCUUUGAUCUAUUGAUGACCACCUGUGGCGAAGGCGGUCUACUAGAACACGUUCGACGGUGAGGGAUGAAAGCUAGGGGAGCAAACCGGAUUAGAAACCCGAGUAGUCC